CGGCGGACGGGUGAGUAACGCGUGGGUAACCUGCCUCAUACAGGGGGAUAACAGUUAGAAAUGACUGCUAAUACCGCAUAAGACCACGGUACCGCAUGGUACAGUGGUAAAAACUCCGGUGGUAUGAGAUGGACCCGCGUCUGAUUAGGUAGUUGGUGGGGUAACGGCCUACCAAGCCGACGAUCAGUAGCCGACCUGAGAGGUUGACGGCCACAUUGGGACUGAGACACGGCCCAG
This 237-nucleotide ribosomal RNA is filed under the name uncultured bacterium. RNAcentral's name for it is "partial 16S ribosomal RNA". It matches the Rfam family "Bacterial small subunit ribosomal RNA", at positions 96 to 334 of the family's 1533-position model. The record is from RNAcentral.